Triticum aestivum (bread wheat) is the source of this 4078-nucleotide RNA transcript. It is a transcript of the gene named non-specific lipid transfer protein GPI-anchored 21-like, with no coding region annotated. The transcript has 6 exons. The record is from RefSeq and is a predicted model, not a curated record. NCBI's taxonomy places the organism in Eukaryota, Viridiplantae, Streptophyta, Magnoliopsida, Poales, Poaceae.
UUUAGUAAUGUAUUUAUGUGAAAGAAUCAAUCACGGUCAAGCUGAGAAAAAAAUCAUGAUCCAAUUUGAAAAGAAUCAAUCACGAUCCAUAAAUCACACGCACCAGAGAAAAAAAAAAUCUGACGAAGAAGGUUGCCCUUGAUCUACUAUUCGAUACAACGACCGGAACCACGCCACAGCAGCCAUCGCGGAUCUCUUCGCCGAUCCAUCCCACCCCACCUGCUUCCUUCCUGAUCCCGACCUCCCGAACCCUACCUCGACGCCAACCGCGCCCCCGCCUCCUUCGACCCACCACUCCGUUCCAUUGAUCCACUCCGCGACGGCCAGUUCUCGCGGCAGUCGCCGCCCGCUCUUCUCCUCCUGGUCCACCUCCCCACCAAGCUCUCUCUCCUAGAUCAUGAGAUGAUAGCGGAGGCACAUAGGUUUCGGCUUCUCCACUAAUGGCGAUAUCAAGGGCUGGUGGAGGCCGGCCAUCAUGGACACGUCUCUCGCCCUCGCACGUAACGAAAAAAAUCAGCCAACAUGCCUCCCCUCGAUCCGUUUCCAACGCGGAUAGUCAAAGACGCCCCAGCCGCCAUAGCGGAGUCCUUCACUGACACCGAGGUCCGACAGGAGCCGCCGCCCUCAUCCCUCUCUUUUCACACUCGCCUAUUUAGCUGGUCGUUGCCUCUCAGCGGCGACUACCCUAGCGGCGGUUGCGGGAAAGAUGGAUCCUUAUCCUCCCGAAAAUAGACUCGGCGCCCUCGUGAUUUGUGGCGGCGGCUGCGACACUCCCUUCCCACGCCGCCGAAGAGGCCCCCAGGGCGGCCGACGACGCCUUUAGCGCGCGGCCUUCCGGAGACACAGCAAGUCUGGCCUACGGUGGGGUGGCGGCAUGCGCAGCAUGGUCGUCGUUUGAUUCAGGAGCGACCUCCGGCUGCUGAACAACCAGUCACUGGAGCACGCGUGGAUGGCCUCUGGCACUGUCCUCACCAAUGGAGGAGCCUCGCCUACGCUGCAGUGCUGCAGGGCGGUGGUCGGGGUGGUCCGCACCGGCGCCUACAAUGUGUGCCUCAUCCUAACUGGCAAAGUGAUCUUCAGCCUCCCCAUCAACUACACCCUCGGCAUCUCCCUUCCGAGGAUCUGCAAGUCACUCCCCGUCCCGCUCGUUUGUAGAGAUACAGCGACGCAGAUCCUAGCUCCAGAUAUCUUAAAUUCUCCUUUGUUGACCUUGCCUUGACAUCGCCUCGAUGUCUCGCAAUUCUUCCGCACUGUUGCCACCGGAUUCGUCGGUUGAUGAGAAGGCGUUGUUGCCGUGAGUGGAAUCGACGCCGAUCAUGCAGGGGCAGAGAUAGGUGGUGGUACCCAUCAUGCGUUGGUAGAUAUGUUUUUGCAAGUCUGUGUUACACUUAGUAUUGUGUGCGUAUGUAUGUAGUUAGACAAGUAAAUAUGUUUCAUGGAGGAAAGAGUGCAGCUCUGUGAAGAGUUCAUGAAUACUUCUGAAAGAAUGAUCAGCUGGCAGUCUAUAAAAGGUAUAGAAAUAGCAUGCUUGGUCCAAAGUACAACAGUUUGUUGGCUUGCUUCGGACAGUCUUUCGCCGUGCUAUAUUUGUGAAGAGGUAAUAUUUUGUAUUGUCUACACACAUUACUAGCUGGCCUGUGCUAAAUGUUCGGUCAUUAUGCAGGUAAUGACAUAUGAGAAGCAAAGAGGAUCAAAUGAUUCCACAUACUGGGUAUUAUUUGAACUGAUAUGGGGGGCUACUUCAGAUUCCUUUUCAGCAAAAUAUGGGAACUCCAUUUUCUUGCAAGGGUAACCAUAGCAUCUACAUUGCUUUAUGCCUGAAACUGAGAGCUUUGGAACAGUGCUAUGCGCUAUUGGACAAAUAGAUACAGAGAUACCUAUCAGUGGUGGUCAGCAGCAAAUACGAGAAAUGUUAGAUACAUCCACACUCUUUCUUGAUCUAUGGACUCAACUCCGCUGGCCUCGUCAUCCUUUCCGUCACUGUGGUCGUCCAUGUCGAAGGGCUUGCGCCGAGGGAAGCACCAUGGAUCCAUUGGACCCCACACCUGCGUCGACCGAUGCUUUGUCUAUCAGUAAGCAAGAAAUGCAAGCAUCCUUCUAAAUAAGAUAUUAGCUAUCUUGAGGCUGAAAUGCAUCCUUCUAAGUAAGAUAUUAGCAAUCAACAAAAAAUGACAACAAUUUUAUUGAAAACUAAAAACAACCUUGCAAUAUUGAUACAAGGAAACAGAAAAAGAGGCGAAAGCAUCACAUGAUAUAUAUCAUUGCGUAUACCAUGGAUGCAAAAACAAAAUGUAAUGAUCGCCCUCUGCUGUGAUGGUGUGCAUUUCUUGGCAUCGGGAACCUGCUUUGGAUACAUAGGAGGGGGGGGGGGCGACACUGGGCGGAUGGGGAGACUAUGGUGAGAGGAACGUACAUGCCGGAUGUCGUGGUAUCAAGGGAAGACAACAGUGGCUGCGGCGACGCCAUGGCAAGGAGAACAGGCCGGGGGAAUGAGAAGUGAGUGUGAGUGUUGCGCGGUGUGGUGAUAGAGUGAGAGAGUGAAUUGCUUUUUAAGAUAAGAAGAAAAGGAUUGGAUGUUUUCUUUUUUAUAGGGAAAAUCACCUCUAUGCUAUGAGAGAAAUUUCAUAUUUUUUUAUAUUAGUGAAAAAUAUCACCAACCCAACAAGUCAUUUUGAACAAGGAUUCAAAUGCGACUCACUUUACUAAAAAGCAUAAUGCCACUCACUCCCGACUAAAAAUGAGCACAUGCUUGCAUUUAGCAUACGACCAAUUGUAUAUGGAGCUUUUUUAAUAUAUGUUUAUUGUUCACUUUAGAUCAGAGAUAAAACCUCAUGCCUUCGGAUGAUGCUUUAAAAAUGUCGCUUGACAAAGCUUUAUGAUGGACUAGACUGAAAACUUGUUGAGUUCUACAAAAUGGGAAGAGAUGCAUACAAAUAAUUGUUGUUCUUCGUAUAUAUCUUGCACGUAUUUUUAAAUAUUUUUAGUUUUGGAGAUGAGAGGGAUGGGGAUGGACAAAAGUAAUCCAUUAAAAGGGUGUCGAGGCGAUGUUUGAAGGGACCAAAAUUUCAUAGAGUUUUAUGCAAUAAUACAUGUAUAUAUAUGCAAUAAAACAAAAUUGAAAUGUCCGUGGCAACGCACGGGCAUUCUACUAGUAGUCAUAGUGGGAGUAACUUAUCUACUCCCUCCGGUUUACAAGGCUUAAAUAAAAAAUCUCAUUACCCAAGACAGAUGGUGAGUGAAGGAAUGUAUAUCGUACUUUACAAAGCUACUCAAAUUAAAUGAUGCAUUAAUUUGAAUUAAUUGCAGUGCAUGCAUGAUUGUUUGCUAGAUGAGUAGUAACAUUACAUGCAUUGGUGAGUUCCUUUUUAAUUAUGGCAUGCAAAUAUUCGAUGCGCCUCGGAAUGUCAAUAGGAGACGGAGAUGAGCCCUUUAACUCAGAAAAACGAAAAAAUUUGAGAUAAGCCAUGUAAAACAGAAAGGAGGAAGCAGUAACAUAACACAUCCUAAUAUAAGUUUACUCAUGUGGCAAAUGUUAACAAUAUGUUAUCGUAACAUAACGCAACCCAAGAAAAAUGAGUCUAUAACCUAAUAAAUGCAACCAUCUAUGAUAUUACUUCUAUGAUACUUUACACUACGAAGGUAGUAACACAGAGUAGUGUCAUAUGCAUGACACUGGUCGAUAAUAUUGAACUGAGGGGAUCUCCAAAACCGACCCCUAAAAGUGACGGAACAUACAUAUUGGAAGAAAGAAAGACGAUCUCGCCUCCAGCUGCCAGGGCACUUUCCUCCGCCACCGUCCUCCGAUGGCUCCCCUCUGCCGACGACCUUGGUCGGCGGUGGUGUGGGGGUCACCGGAACCACGCACGUGGAUCGUUUUAGGCAUUAAGUAGCUUAAGUUUUGGGCUAUUCAUCGUCUUGGCUACGACAAUGACGAUGGCAACACCGAAUGAAAAUUCUUCAGAUCCUUCUUGACGAGGCAAUCCACAUGGGGGCUGGAUUUGGAAACCAGUCUAUUCAAGAAAAUGAUGGUGCGACAGCGGCAUCCUUGUGGCGGACCUGUGUCCUCGGACUCCGUCGU